RNAcentral lists this ribosomal RNA (730 nucleotides) under uncultured bacterium. RNAcentral describes it as "bacterial SSU rRNA". It matches the Rfam family "Bacterial small subunit ribosomal RNA", at positions 771 to 1501 of the family's 1533-position model. The record is from RNAcentral.
AACAGGAUUAGAUACCCUGGUAGUCCACGCCGUAAACGAUGUCGACUUGGAGGUUGUUCCCUUGAGGAGUGGCUUCCGGAGCUAACGCGUUAAGUCGACCGCCUGGGGAGUACGGCCGCAAGGUUAAAACUCAAAUGAAUUGACGGGGGCCCGCACAAGCGGUGGAGCAUGUGGUUUAAUUCGAUGCAACGCGAAGAACCUUACCUACUCUUGACAUCCAGAGAACUUAGCAGAGAUGCUUUGGUGCCUUCGGGAACUCUGAGACAGGUGCUGCAUGGCUGUCAUCAGCUCGUGUUGUGAAAUGUUGGGUUAAGUCCCGCAACGAGCGCAACCCUUAUCCUUUGUUGCCAGCGGUUCGGCCGGGAACUCAAAGGAGACUGCCAGUGAUAAACUGGAGGAAGGUGGGGAUGACGUCAAGUCAUCAUGGCCCUUACGAGUAGGGCUACACACGUGCUACAAUGGCGCAUACAAAGAGAAGCGACCUCGCGAGAGCAAGCGGACCUCAUAAAGUGCGUCGUAGUCCGGAUUGGAGUCUGCAACUCGACUCCAUGAAGUCGGAAUCGCUAGUAAUCGUAGAUCAGAAUGCUACGGUGAAUACGUUCCCGGGCCUUGUACACACCGCCCGUCACACCAUGGGAGUGGGUUGCAAAAGAAGUAGGUAGCUUAACCUUCGGGAGGGCGCUUACCACUUUGUGAUUCAUGACUGGGGUGAAGUCGUAACAAGGUAACC